Molecule: ribosomal RNA, 445 nt
Filed under: uncultured bacterium
Lineage: Bacteria
Description: bacterial SSU rRNA
Rfam family: Bacterial small subunit ribosomal RNA
Source: RNAcentral
CCAGACUCCUACGGGAGGCAGCAGUGGGGAAUAUUGGGCAAUGGGCGCAAGCCUGACCCAGCAACGCCGCGUGAAGGAAGAAGGCUUUCGGGUUGUAAACUUCUUUUAAGAGGGAAGAGUAGAAGACGGUACCUCUUGAAUAAGCCACGGCUAACUACGUGCCAGCAGCCGCGGUAAUACAGAGGAUGCGAGCGUUAUUCGGAUUUAUUGGGUUUAAAGGGUGCGUAGGCGGACUGGAAAGUCAGCGGUAAAAUCGGGAGGCUCAACCUCUUUCCGCCGUUGAAACUGUCGGUCUUGAGUGGGCGAGAAGUAUGCGGAAUGCGUGGUGUAGCGGUGAAAUGCAUAGAUAUCACGCAGAACUCCGAUUGCGAAGGCAGCAUACCGGCGCCCAACUGACGCUGAAGCACGAAAGCGUGGGUAUCGAACAGGAUUAGAUACCCCAGUA